Molecule: ribosomal RNA, 425 nt
Filed under: uncultured bacterium
Lineage: Bacteria
Description: bacterial SSU rRNA
Rfam family: Bacterial small subunit ribosomal RNA
Source: RNAcentral
GUGGGGAAUAUUGGACAAUGGGCGCAAGCCUGAUCCAGCCAUGCCGCGUGAGUGAUGAAGGCCUUAGGGUUGUAAAGCUCUUUCGUCAGGGAAGAUAAUGACGGUACCUGAAGAAGAAGCCCCGGCUAACUUCGUGCCAGCAGCCGCGGUAAUACGAAGGGGGCUAGCGUUGCUCGGAAUCACUGGGCGUAAAGCGCACGUAGGCGGCUUUCUAAGUCAGGGGUGAAAUCCUGGAGCUCAACUCCAGAACUGCCUUUGAUACUGGAGAGCUUGAGUUCGGGAGAGGUGAGUGGAACUGCGAGUGUAGAGGUGAAAUUCGUAGAUAUUCGCAAGAACACCAGUGGCGAAGGCGGCUCACUGGCCCGAUACUGACGCUGAGGUGCGAAAGCGUGGGGAGCAAACAGGAUUAGAAACCCCAGUAGUCC